RNAcentral lists this ribosomal RNA (1692 nucleotides) under Macrochirichthys macrochirus (sward minnow). RNAcentral describes it as "16S rRNA". It matches the Rfam family "Bacterial large subunit ribosomal RNA". The record is from RNAcentral. Lineage: Eukaryota; Metazoa; Chordata; Actinopteri; Cypriniformes; Xenocyprididae.
GCCAAACAGCUAGCUUAAUCAUCUAAUCUUAAAUAAAUAAUAUUAAUAACAAAACAUGGCUCAACACCAUAAACUAAACCAUUUUUUUACCUAGUAUGGGAGACAGAAAGGUUCAACAUAAAGCUAUAAAAAAAGUACCGCAAGGGAAAGCUGAAAGAGAAAUGAAACAACUCAUAUAAGCACUAAAAAACAAAGAUCAAACCUUGUACCUUUUGCAUCAUGAUUUAGCCAGCACUCCCAAGCAAAGAGACCUUUAGUUUGGAACCCCGAAACCAAGUGAGCUACCCCGAGACCGCCUAUUAACUUAGGGCUAACCCGUCUCUGUAGCAAAAGAGUGGGGAGAACUCCGGGUAGAAGUGACAGACCUACCGAACUUGGUGAUAGCUGGUUGCCUGAAAAAUGGAUAAAAGUUCAGCCUCGUACGCCUCAAGUCAAUAUAUUAAAACAUUAAGACAAUAGAGAAAUAUACGAGAGUUAGUUAAAGGGGGUACAGCCCCUUUAACAAAGGAUACAACCUUUACAGGAGGAUAAAGAUCAUAAUGUACAAAACAUACUGUUUUAGUGGGCCUAAAAGCAGCCAUCUAAACAGAAAGCGUUAAAGCUCAGACAGAGUAUAGUCUAUCAUAUCGAUAAAAAAUCUUAUUCCCCUAACAGUAUCAGGCUACUCCAUGCCCACAUGGAAGAAAUAAUGCUAAAAUGAGUAACAAGAAGACCCGCUCUUCUCCAAGCACAAGUGUAAGCCAGAUCGGACCAACCACUGAAAAUUAACGAACUCAAACAAAGAGAGUAAUGUGAUCAACAAAAAAAUCAAGAAAACCCCACAACCUAUCUACUAUCGUUAACCCCACACUGGAGUGCUAUUUAUUAAAGGAAAGACUAAAAGAAAGGGAAGGAACUCGGCAAACACAAGCCUCGCCUGUUUACCAAAAACAUCGCCUCCUGCAACCUAAACUUAGUAUAGGAGGUCCAGCCUGCCCAGUGACCAUGAGUUUAACGGCCGCGGUAUUUUGACCGUGCAAAGGUAGCGUAAUCACUUGUCUUUUAAAUAGAGACCUGUAUGAACGGCUAGACGAGGGCUUAACUGUCUCCCCCUUCAAGUCAGUGAAAUUGAUCUAUCCGUGCAGAAGCGGGUAUAAAAAUACAAGACGAGAAGACCCUUUGGAGCUUAAGGUACAAAACUCAACCACGUCAAACAACUCAAUAAAAAGCAAAAACUUAGUGAAUAAUGAGACUUUACCUUCGGUUGGGGCGACCACGGAGGAAAAAACAGCCUCCAAGUGGAAUGGGUUGUCAAACCUAAAACUAAGAGAAACAUCUCUAAGUCUCAGAACAUCUGACCAAAAAUGAUCCGAUCAACAAAAUCGAUCAACGAACCAAGUUACCCCAGGGAUAACAGCGCAAUCCUCUCCCAGAGUCCAUAUCGACGAGGGGGUUUACGACCUCGAUGUUGGAUCAGGACAUCCUAAUGGUGCAGACGCUAUUAAGGGUUCGUUUGUUCAACGAUUAAAGUCCUACGUGAUCUGAGUUCAGACCGGAGCAAUCCAGGUCAGUUUCUAUCUGUAACGCCACUUUUCCUAGUACGAAAGGAUCGGAAAGAGGGGGCCUAUACCAAAAGCACGCCCCACCCCUAAUUAAUGAAAACAAAUAAAUUAAACAAAGGGGGGCUAAACCCACCGCCCAAAAUCAGGACAU